CGUAGGGCGCAAGCGUUGUCCGGAAUUAUUGGGCGUAAAGAGCUCGUAGGCGGCUUGUCACGUCGGAUGUGAAAGCCCGGGGCUUAACCCCGGGUCUGCAUUCGAUACGGGCUAGCUAGAGUGUGGUAGGGGAGAUCAGAAUUCCUGGUGUAGCGGUGAAAUGCGCAGAUAUCAGGAGGAACACCGGUGGCGAAGGCGGAUCUCUGGGCCAUUACUGACGCUGAGGAGCGAAAGCGUGGGGAGCGAACAGGAUUAGAUACCCUGGUAGUCCACGCCGUAAACGUUGGGAACUAGGUGUUGGCGACAUUCCACGUCGUUGGUGCCGCAGCUAACGCAUUAAGUUCCCCGCCUGGGGAGUACGGCCGCAAGGCUA
This 373-nucleotide ribosomal RNA is filed under the name uncultured organism. RNAcentral's name for it is "bacterial SSU rRNA". It matches the Rfam family "Bacterial small subunit ribosomal RNA", at positions 526 to 896 of the family's 1533-position model. The record is from RNAcentral.